CGGGGUAGAGCAGUUUGGUAGCUCGCAAGGCUCAUAACCUUGAGGUCACGGGUUCAAAUCCUGUCUCCGCAA
Molecule: transfer RNA, 72 nt
Filed under: Fraxinus xanthoxyloides
Lineage: Eukaryota; Viridiplantae; Streptophyta; Magnoliopsida; Lamiales; Oleaceae
Also listed under: 2 other names
Description: tRNA-fMet
Rfam family: tRNA
About the family: Transfer RNA (tRNA) molecules are approximately 80 nucleotides in length. Their secondary structure includes four short double-helical elements and three loops (D, anti-codon, and T loops).
Source: RNAcentral